AGAGUUUGAUCAUGGCUCAGGACGAACGCUGACGGUGUGCUUUAGACAUGCAAGUCGAACGAGAAAGCCCUUCGGGGUGAGUAUAGUGGCGAACGGGUGAGUAACACGUGGGCAACCUGCCCCUCGCAGGGGGAUAACCGGAGGAAACUCCGGCUAAUACCCCGUAAGCUUUCAGGGUCGCAUGGCCCUGUAAGGAAAGGUAGCUUCGGCCAUCCGGCGAGGGAUGGGCCCGCGGUGCAUUAGCUAGUUGGUGGGGUAACGGCCCACCAAGGCGACGAUGCGUAGCUGGUCUGAGAGGAUGAUCAGCCACACUGGGACUGAGACACGGCCCAGACUCCUACGGGAGGCAGCAGCCAGGAAUCUUGGGCAAUGGGCGAAAGCCUGACCCAGCAACACCGUGUGGGCGAUGAAGGCCUUCGGGUCGUAAAGCCCUGUUGAUAGGGACGAAGGGCGAAGGGUUAAUAGCCCCUAGCCUGACGGUACCCUUCGAGGAAGCCCCGGCUAACUACGUGCCAGCAGCCGCGGUAAUACGUAGGGGGCGAGCGUUGUCCGGAAUUAUUGGGCGUAAAGAGCGUGUAGGCGGUUCGGUAAGUCUGCCGUGAAAACCUGGGGCUCAACCCCGGGCGUGCGGUGGAUACUGCCGGGCUAGAGGGUGGUAGAGGCGAGUGGAAUUCCCGGUGUAGCGGUGAAAUGCGCAGAUAUCGGGAGGAACACCAGUAGCGAAGGCGGCUCGCUGGGCCAUUCCUGACGCUGAGACGCGAAAGCUAGGGGAGCGAACAGGAUUAGAUACCCCCGUAGUCC
RNAcentral lists this ribosomal RNA (801 nucleotides) under uncultured Rubrobacter sp. RNAcentral describes it as "bacterial SSU rRNA". It matches the Rfam family "Bacterial small subunit ribosomal RNA", at positions 8 to 796 of the family's 1533-position model. The record is from RNAcentral. Lineage: Bacteria; Bacillati; Actinomycetota; Rubrobacteria; Rubrobacterales; Rubrobacteraceae.